Molecule: ribosomal RNA, 253 nt
Filed under: uncultured bacterium
Lineage: Bacteria
Description: partial 16S ribosomal RNA
Rfam family: Bacterial small subunit ribosomal RNA
Source: RNAcentral
UACGAGUGCCUCAAGCGUUAUCCGGAAUUAUUGGGCGUAAAGGGUGUGUAGGCGGUUUCGUUAGUCUUGUGUUAAAACCAGGAGCUCAACUUCUGAUAUGCACAGGAAACGGCAAAACUAGAGUGCGCGAGAGGUUUGCGGAACUCAUGGUGUAGGGGUGAAAUCCGUUGAUAUCAUGGGGAACACCAAAUGCGAAGGCAGCAAACUGGCGCGUCACUGACGCUGAAACACGAAAGCGUGGGUAGCGAAUGGG